AUAGGACAUGCAAAAUCAUAUGUCGGAUAGACCCUGCAAAUAAAAAUAACGAAAUAUUGAUUAUCUAUAGUACGUGGAUGAUGCUCAAGUUUACACCUAUAGAUGGUGUACCUAGUUGCAUUUCUUUCCAAAAAUAUAAAUUCUCUUCUAAAGCUGCAAGGGUAACAAUUGUG
Phymastichus coffea is the source of this 173-nucleotide long non-coding RNA. RefSeq lists it as uncharacterized. The record is from RefSeq and is a predicted model, not a curated record. Lineage: Eukaryota; Metazoa; Arthropoda; Insecta; Hymenoptera; Eulophidae. The transcript has 3 exons.